RNAcentral lists this non-coding RNA (185 nucleotides) under Methylothermaceae bacteria B42. Its description in RNAcentral is "6S RNA". It matches the Rfam family "6S / SsrS RNA". From Rfam's summary of the family: E. coli 6S RNA was the first non coding RNA to be sequenced, but its function was unknown until recently. It consists of 184 nucleotides that fold into an extended hairpin structure with a large single-stranded internal bulge. RNAcentral also lists the same sequence under 1 other name. The record is from RNAcentral. Lineage: Bacteria; Pseudomonadati; Pseudomonadota; Gammaproteobacteria; Methylococcales; Methylothermaceae.
UAUCCCCUGCAGCGUUCGAGAGGUUCUGGGUUACUUCUUGAGCCUAAUUCCAAACCCCGGGAGCAGGUGCGUUGGUGAUGGUGAGCAUGUCCACCUUGAGUGGAAAGCCUGAUUCACCACCCAAGUUCCCACUUGAACCAUUCGGUUCAAGAGCGAAAGGACUUCACGGCGCAGGCGGGGGAUAC